Long non-coding RNA from Hemibagrus wyckioides, 781 nucleotides. RefSeq lists it as uncharacterized. NCBI's taxonomy places the organism in Eukaryota, Metazoa, Chordata, Actinopteri, Siluriformes, Bagridae. The record is from RefSeq and is a predicted model, not a curated record. The transcript has 3 exons.
CCUUGUUGGAGAGAAAAAUGAGAGGAUGUAUGAAAGUGAGGGAGGAAGCAAAGCAGCGAAAGAGGGAAGGCAUGAAGGAAGAAAAUUUGGGAGAUAAAAGGGGAUGGGAAAAGAGGAGUGGCCUAGUUUUGUCAUUAAAGAGCUCAGCAGCUCUGUCAACCCAGUUCCACCGGUCAACAGGGGAUCGGUCCGUCACACCCACAUGCACCCAGUGAUGGAAAGAACCAGCUGAGGAGGAACAGAGGGGAAAGUCGAGAGGGGUACAGAAGGAGGAGGCAGUUGCUAGGAGACAACAUCCUGUGAGGUUAAUCAUGUGACUGGAGAAGAAUGCAGUAUCACUGAUGAAGAGAGGCUUUUUUUAUCACAAGAGAAAGGCAUACAUGUGCUGGAACAAUAAACCAUUAAUAUAAUAUAUUCUCUAUAUAAUUUACUCCAUAAUGCAUUUCAGUUAAAACAUGCUAGGUUAAACUUAAGGUUGAAUUAAAUCUGUCACAAUUUUAUACACAAUUACAUAACAUCUACAUUGGUGAUUAAUAUGAUGUUUGCUUCAGAGAAAAAAAGUGAGCUGUGUUUUAUUUCCUAGACGCCUGUUGGCUUGCUAUCUUCAGUCUCUCUCAUUGAUCAAGAAUGCAGCGAAUGUUCACCUUGAGAUCUUUAUCUAAUCAAUGAAACACUGUAGGCUGUUUUUCCCGCCAUUGAUUGCUGUAUUUUUCAUGAAUCUAAACAGUGACAGAUGCACGCUACACUACAAAUGUGAUUUAAGGCUCAAUAAAACUGUAAA